AGCAUAGCUACGGAGGUACACCCGGAUCCAUUCCGAACCCGGCAGUUAAGUCCGUAAACGCUGAAAGUACUUGGAGGGCAGCCUCCCGGGAUGACAGGAACUUGCCAAGC
This 110-nucleotide ribosomal RNA is filed under the name Fusobacteriaceae bacterium. Lineage: Bacteria; Fusobacteriati; Fusobacteriota; Fusobacteriia; Fusobacteriales; Fusobacteriaceae. The record is from RNAcentral.